This 1149-nucleotide long non-coding RNA is filed under the name Numida meleagris (helmeted guineafowl). RNAcentral describes it as "lncRNA (ENSNMEG00000014866.1)". The record is from RNAcentral. Lineage: Eukaryota; Metazoa; Chordata; Aves; Galliformes; Numididae.
CAUUUAUCAGAGUAUGACUGAUGUGCUGAUAUAACCCUAAUUGUCGAACACAGGAAUGCUGUAAUACAACUUCAUUGUAAGUGACUCAGGGCCAUAAAUAUACUUAACAGCUGCAGUGUGGAAGGAAAAGCUUCUGCAAGUUAAAGAACUUCUCCUGAGUCUCAUCAGUAAUUGGUGAACUUGGUUGCUUUAGCAAUGCUUUCAUUACUGCUGUGUCUAUAAAAUGGCAUUGCAUGUUUUAGACCACAUUUCUUUCUGUAUUCUCAGUGCAAACUAAGAACGUAUUAUAAUUCUAACUUCUUGUUAGAAUUAUAAACAAUGUAUAAGGUAAAAAUCUUAGUGCUCUUCUGCAGCAUAUCCUAUACUGGAAACUUCAGUUUCUGUGCUAAUAUAAAUCGCUGAUCUUCAUACCUGUUUAUCAGUUUUGAAUGGCUCCUUGCUGUUAUAUAACAAAAGAAAAUAAAUAGAUUUACUUUAUAACCUUAAACCUACAUUCUCUGCUUUUCAGAAAUUAUGAGCAGUAGCAAAGAAUCUUAUCUACUUCUGAAAGAUUUUGGAGAAAUACCUUCAAAUUUUAUGCGAAGAGGGAGAAACAGCUUAUGAGCUUCAAGACAGUACCUAAGUCCUUUACAUCUAACUCCAAGCACCUGGCUCUCUUCAGAAAGGAAAAACUAUUCAUCUGUCAUUCUCCAGCUUGAAAUUGGACAUUUCCAGGCACUGUUUGCCAGGUACUCCAGCAGGCCAACUCUGUGAAGACAGAUACAGGGUACCAGCCAGGCUAGGAUGUCAGCUUCCAGGAUGUAGAAAAUGACUGGGAAGACAGUAUAGAAGGCCGGUACUGCGCAGAUACUAUCCUUGUGCAAGGUUUCCACCACUUGUUCUAUGACACACAAUGAGGGAUAUUUUCUUGAAGAUAUGAGAACUUUCUUCAACCAAUUGCCACUGAGUUACCUGGCUGAGCAAUCAAAAAAACCCUGCAACUCUGUCCAAUAGUAAUGAUGUGUUGCUGGAGAUAAGUAUAUUAGCCAUUUCAUACAAAUAUGAACUAUCAGUCUUAACUUUGAUUUGGCUUAGUUUUUGUAUAAACUUUUGAAUGCUCUCUUGGAUUUGCUAAUUUGUAUGGAAUAUAAAACGUAUGUCGAAUGCAAC